This is a long non-coding RNA of Engraulis encrasicolus (European anchovy), 920 nucleotides long. RefSeq lists it as uncharacterized. The transcript is spliced from 3 exons. Lineage: Eukaryota; Metazoa; Chordata; Actinopteri; Clupeiformes; Engraulidae. The record is from RefSeq and is a predicted model, not a curated record.
CCUGCAUACGCGCGUCUGAUUGAUUGACUGACAGCAGUGGGCGGGAGUUAGGCUAUUUACUUGGCAAGGCUACUGCUUCCUGGACUGGCAUAUUCCGCUGCGGCCAGACCGCAUUGUUGGCGUGGGCACGCUGCGUUCGUUUGAGACGUUGCCGUUCGAUUGACCCUUUGUCGUUGCCCUAUUGCGCUGGUAAUCCCCGCCUAGUGAGCUGUAGGCCAGGCCUGGAAUUACGCGUGGGAAAGGGGAGGCUCCGCGGCAGUUGUGUGUGAGAGAUCCCAGUGCGCAAAGUGCGCACCAGCCGUCUCCAGGACGAGGACGCAAUGUGGGAUGCCCGUAUACGCCGCUCCAACUGCUGUUUUGUCUGGAGAAGAGUUUGAUUUUCGUUAUUUUCUGUUUGUGUUUUAUUUUGUUUGUAUCUUGUGGCGUGGUUUGUUUGAGCUCGCCGAGCUCUUUGGCUGCGUCAGCCGCCUUUAUCCAUCCGCAUCGCGCCUAUUGGGCUGUGUGCGCAUCAGUCACCCAUUCUAGGGAAACGGCUCUGGUGGCUGCGUCCACGCCUUCAUAUCCAGUAGCCUAGUGUGUGCAGUGACUUAUUUACAUUUUCUUUUGAGUUUUGCAUGCUUAUGUUACAGUGGUUUUGUGAUUUUAUUUAUGUUUUUGUGUGCUUUGAUUUGCUGGGAUUUGAGAUACAUUUCCCCUGCUGCUGGUAUGUCGGGCGCCAUUCGUGGUUCCACCUCAUCCUAUUAACCCCUUUUCUGUGACUGGACUGCGUUACUUCAGUGCAAGUGUGCGCAAAAUGUAUGUUUAACUGUCUGCUUUAUUUAUUGAAACCAAGUUUGCACAGUUGAAAAGAAAAAUAAAACAAAUGUAUUUGGGACCCUCGUUUCUGUCUCUGUACAACGAACCUGUUUAGCCUUUCAGUA